This 450-nucleotide ribosomal RNA is filed under the name Donacia lenzi. RNAcentral's name for it is "partial 16S ribosomal RNA". Lineage: Eukaryota; Metazoa; Arthropoda; Insecta; Coleoptera; Chrysomelidae. The record is from RNAcentral.
GUCUUAUUGAUAGAUAAUUUUAAGUCUUGCCUGCUCUAUGUAGUUAUAAAUGGCCGCGGUAAUUUGACUGUGCUAAGGUAGCAUAAUCAUUAGUUUUUUAAUUGAAAGCUGGAAUGAAGGGUUAUAUGAAAAAAUAUCUGUCUCUUUUAUAAAAUUAAAAUUUUAUUUUUAAGUUAAAAAGCUUAAAUAAAGUUAAAAGACGAGAAGACCCUAUAGAGUUUUAUAUAAUUUUAGUUUUAUUUUAUUAGUAAUUAAAAUAUAAAAUUUAAUUUAUAUUUGAUUGGGGUGAUUAGAAAAUAUAAAAAUCUUUUUUUUAAUAUUAACAUUUAUAUAUGAUUAUAUGAUUCAUUUUAAUGAUUAAAGAAUAAAUUACCUUAGGGAUAACAGCGUAAUUUUUUUUUAAAGUUCAAAUUAAAAAAAGAGAUUGCGACCUCGAUGUUGGAUUAAAAU